Long non-coding RNA from Ipomoea nil (Japanese morning glory), 975 nucleotides. RefSeq lists it as uncharacterized. NCBI's taxonomy places the organism in Eukaryota, Viridiplantae, Streptophyta, Magnoliopsida, Solanales, Convolvulaceae. The record is from RefSeq and is a predicted model, not a curated record. The transcript is spliced from 3 exons.
UCCCUACUUGUAAAUCGCCGCUCCCUUCCACUCCCUUCACAUUUCCUUCCGUCUGCUUUAAGUGGACCAAGCCUACAGAUUCCGUCCCUUCCCCUUUCCUUCCUAGACCAAGCCUGCAGAUACGUUCAAGGUUUCAUCAACGAUGCUUCUGCUUCGUCUCAGCGUCUCCCAACUGUCCUUCUUCUCCGCCGCUCGUUCCGGCUUUGUUCAUGAUUGGACUGUGGAAGCCACACCUUUUCUUCGCAAGUUCGUUCGGCUGACAGGCUUCCUUACGGAUGGGAUUUCGACACUCGCCAAGUCGCCCACCUACUGCCCGCUUCUGCAACGAAAGAAUCCUUGUAGAUUAUCUUGAGUGUGUUGGAUGGGUAUAAUGGGACAGUAAUAGCUAAAGAUGAUGUGAUUAAGCGUGGCAUCAUGGCUAGAGCAUUGGAAGACAUAAUUGUCAAUACAUCUCCUGAGACUGCCAGUAUGAAAAUUUCCUAUCUUUUCAGGUGUACAUGGAAUCCAUACAAGAUUUGCUUGCUCAUGAAAAGAUAAACAUCCCAAUUGUUGAGGAUGCAAAGACUGACAAGUAUUGGUACCUAGUGCCACUACGGUUAAAAUUCAGGAUCUUCACCAUUUCAAGCAGCUAUUGCAAACUGGAGAAGCUAAUCGUUAUGCUACUUUAUAUAAUUUAUUUAUAAUUUAAACACAAGUAAUUUUGUUCAAAUAAUUGAUGAAGUAAUUAUAUCCAAUUGAGUUUGUGUGGUGUUUUUUCCCAAGUGUAGUGGUGGCUUCUAUUUUUAAUCCAUUACUAAUUAUGGUCAAAGAAAAUGUAAGAGCACUACAAUGAUAUAUAUGAAUUUUUCGAUUACAGUUAGUUUUAAUUUGCUAUUAGUUUCUAAAAUGUCUCUCUGUAUUCACCAGAACUGUCUGAGUGAUUCUAGUAGUUUAGUAUGUACAUGAUAAACUAGAUCAAAAGAACAAAUUUGAUAA